ACACCCAAUGUGGGGCUCGAACUCACAACCCCAAGAUCAAGAGUUGCACGCUCCACCAACUGACCCAGCCAGGCUUCCCAGGAGUAUUUCUGUUUGGUUGUUAAUGUGGUGUGCAAAUGUAUAUGCACAUAUGCAUGUUACAUGUAACAUACAUAGUGUAACAUAUAACAUACAUGUAUAUAUAUAUCAUUGCCACUUUAAUUUUUACUUUCUUUUGAAGUUAUUUUAUUUUAUUUUUUUAAUUUUUUUUUAAUUUUUAUUUAUUUAUGAUAGUCACAGAGAGAGAUAGAGAGAGGCAGAGACACAGGCAGAGGGAGCAGCAGGUCCAUGCACCGGGAGCCCGACGUGGGAUUCGAUCCCGGGUCUCCAGGAUCGCGCCCUGGGGCAAAGGCAGGCGCUAAACCGCUGCGCCACCCAGGGAUCCCUUGAAGUUAUUUUAAAGAUCUUAUUUAUUUGAGAAAGAGGUAGAGAGCAUGAGUGGGGGGAAGGGUCAGAGGGUGAGGGAGAAAGAAUCUCCUGCAGACUCCAACCUGAACUCAGAGCCCAAAGCAGGGCUGACGUCAUGACUACGAGACCAUGAUCUGACCCAAAAUCAAGAGUCAGGUGCUCAGGGCACCUGGGUGGCUCAGUGGUUGAGCGUCUGCCUUUGGCUCAGGGUGUGAUCCCAGGGUCCUGGGAUCAAGCCCCACAUCGGGCUCCCUGCAUGGAUCCUGCUUCUCCCUCUGCCUGUGUCUCUGCCUCUCUCUCUGUCUCUUGAAUAAAUAAAAUCUUUUUUUUUUUUUAAGGGAGACGCUCAACCAACUGAGCUCCCCAGGUGCCCCUCUAGCAGUGCUUUAGAAGGUGUAGGUUCUUGGGAGCCUGGGGGGCCCAGUCAAUUGAGCAUCUGCCUUUGGCUAAGGUCAUGGUCUCAGGAGUCCUGCAUGGGGCUCCCUGCAGCUAGGAGUCUGCUUCUCCCUCUACCUUCCUGCCCCUGAGUCAUGAUCACUCUCUCUCUCUUUCUCUCAAAUAAAUAAAUCUUAAAACAAAGAAGUGUAUAUUGUAGGACCCAGAAUUUCCUUCUGGAAACUCGUCUUACAGAAAUGCUUACACAUGCACAGAUAUAUGUAUGACGAUAUUCACUGUGGUAAUUUAGAACAGGGGAGAGCAGGAAAUGAUAGAGAAAUCCAUCUGUAGGUGGAAGGGGGAGGUAAAUUGUGCUAUAUUCAUACUACAUAGUCAUUAAAAAAUAAAGGUCCUGGGCAGCCCUGGUGGUGCAGCAGUUUAGCGCCGCCUGCAGCUCAGGGUGUGAUCCUAGAGACCUGGGAUCGAGUCCCAUGUCAGGUUCCCUGCAUGGAGCCUGCUUCUCCCUCUGCCUGUGUCUCUGCCUCUCUCUCUCUGUCUCUCAUGAAUAAAUAAAAUCUUUAAAAAAAUAAAAAUGAAAAAAAUAAAGGUCCUUCACGUAUGCCAACUAGAAAAAGUCUCCAUGCAAAAAAGAGUUACAGGAAAAAAAGUAAUAAUUCAAUGUUGUUGGUUUUUUCCAGAUUAUUUAUUUAUUUAUUUGUUUAUUUAUUUAGUGCA
RNAcentral lists this long non-coding RNA (1557 nucleotides) under Canis lupus familiaris (dog). RNAcentral's name for it is "lncRNA (ENSCAFG00000052358.1)". The record is from RNAcentral. Lineage: Eukaryota; Metazoa; Chordata; Mammalia; Carnivora; Canidae.